RNAcentral lists this ribosomal RNA (478 nucleotides) under uncultured bacterium. RNAcentral describes it as "partial 16S ribosomal RNA". It matches the Rfam family "Bacterial small subunit ribosomal RNA", at positions 28 to 523 of the family's 1533-position model. The record is from RNAcentral.
GACGAACGCUGGCGGCGUGCUUAACACAUGCAAGUCGAACGGUAAGGCCCUUCGGGGUACACGAGUGGCGAACGGGUGAGUAACCCGUGGGUGAUCUGCCCUGCACUUCGGGAUAAGCCUGGGAAACUGGGUCUAAUACCGGAUAGGACCACUGCCUGCAUGGGUGGUGGUGGAAAGCUUUUGCGGUGUGGGAUGGGCCCGCGGCCUAUCAGUUUGUGGGUGGGGUGAUGGCCUACCAAGGCGACGACGGGGAGCCGGCCUGGGAGGGUGACCGGCCACACUGGGACUGAGAUACGGCCCAGACUCCUACGGGAGGCAGCAGUGGGGAAUAUUGCACAAUGGGCGCAAGCCUGAUGCAGCGACGCCGCGUGAGGGAUGACGGCCUUCGGGUUGUAAACCUCUUUCAGCACCGACGAAGCGCAAGUGACGGUAGGUGCAGAAGAAGGACCGGCCAACUACGUGCCAGCAGCCGCCGUAA